Molecule: ribosomal RNA, 468 nt
Filed under: uncultured bacterium
Lineage: Bacteria
Description: partial 16S ribosomal RNA
Rfam family: Bacterial small subunit ribosomal RNA
Source: RNAcentral
GACGAACGCUGGCGGCGUGCUUAACACAUGCAAGUCGAACGGAAAGGCCCUGCUUUUGUGGGGUGCUCGAGUGGCGAACGGGUGAGUAACACGUGAGUAACCUGCCCUUGACUUUGGGAUAACUUCAGGAAACUGGGGCUAAUACCGGAUAGGAGCUCCUGCUGCAUGGUGGGGGUUGGAAAGUUUCGGCGGUUGGGGAUGGACUCGCGGCUUAUCAGCUUGUUGGUGGGGUAGUGGCUUACCAAGGCUUUGACGGGUAGCCGGCCCGAGAGGGUGACCGGCCACAUUGGGACUGAGAUACGGCCCAGACUCCUACGGGAGGCAGCAGUGGGGAAUAUUGCACAAUGGGCGGAAGCCUGAUGCAGAAACGCCGCGUGCGGGAUGACGGCCUUCGGGUUGUAAACCGCUUUCGCCUGUGACGAAGCGUGAGUGACGGUAAUGGGUAAAGAAGCACCGGCUAACUACGUG